RNAcentral lists this ribosomal RNA (432 nucleotides) under uncultured bacterium. RNAcentral's name for it is "partial 16S ribosomal RNA". It matches the Rfam family "Bacterial small subunit ribosomal RNA", at positions 338 to 795 of the family's 1533-position model. The record is from RNAcentral.
CCUACGGGGGGCAGCAGUGGGGAAUCUUGCACAAUGGUCGAAAGCCUGAUGCAGCGACGCCGCGUGGGGGACGAAGGCUUUCGAGUUGUAAACCCCUUUCGACAGGGAAGCGGUACCUGUAGAAGAAGCUCCGGCUAACUACGUGCCAGCAGCCGCGGUAAGACGUAGGGAGCGAGCGUUGUCCGGAUUCAUUGGGCGUAAAGAGCGCGUAGGCGGUUUGGCAAGUCGGACGUGAAAAGCCGGGGCGCAACCCCGGACGUGCGUCCGAAACUGCCCGACUAGAGGUAGGUAGGGGAGAUCGGAAUUCCUGGUGUAGCGGUGAAAUGCGCAGAUAUCAGGAGGAACACCGGUGGCGAAGGCGGAUCUCUGGGCCUUCCUGACGCUGAGGCGCGAAAGCUAGGGGAGCAAACAGGAUUAGAUACCCGUGUAGUC